Molecule: non-coding RNA, 124 nt
Organism: Oryza punctata
Lineage: Eukaryota; Viridiplantae; Streptophyta; Magnoliopsida; Poales; Poaceae
Source: Rfam
GUGUUCGUAGAAAGGAGAGACGGUUGGCAUCUCCCCUGACAGGGACGGGAACAGCUUUCGGGCUUUCCUCCAUCACAUUGCGGUUAAGGCUACCCGCUUCGGCGGAUCUUACCCAAAUUUUUUU